Molecule: ribosomal RNA, 294 nt
Filed under: Ditylum brightwellii
Lineage: Eukaryota; Bacillariophyta; Thalassiosirophyceae; Lithodesmiales; Lithodesmiaceae
Description: partial Bacterial large subunit ribosomal RNA
Rfam family: Bacterial large subunit ribosomal RNA
Source: RNAcentral
CAGAUGGGCAGUUUGACUGGGGCGGUCGCCUCCUAAAGAGUAACGGAGGCGCCCAAAGGUUCCCUCAGCCUGGUUGGCAAUCAGGUGGUGAGUGUAAGUGCACAAGGGGGCUUGACUGUGAGACUGACAGGUCGAGCAGGGACGAAAGUCGGGACUAGUGAUCCGGCACCUACUUGUGGAUGUGGUGUCGCUCAACGGAUAAAAGGUACCCCGGGGAUAACAGGCUGAUCUUCCCCAAGAGUCCAUAUCGACGGGAUGGUUUGGCACCUCGAUGUCGGCUCGUCGCAUCCUGGG